CGUCAUGGACCCGGCCUGGGAGGACCCCGACGGCGUCCCCAUCGACGCCAUCAUCUUCGGCGGGCGGCGCCCGCGCGGGGUGCCCCUGAUCUACGAGGCCUUCAACUGGCGCCACGGCGUCUUCGUGGGCAGCGCCAUGCGCAGCGAGGCCACC
Nothoprocta perdicaria is the source of this 154-nucleotide long non-coding RNA. RefSeq lists it as uncharacterized. The record is from RefSeq and is a predicted model, not a curated record. The transcript is spliced from 2 exons. Lineage: Eukaryota; Metazoa; Chordata; Aves; Tinamiformes; Tinamidae.